Molecule: ribosomal RNA, 1269 nt
Filed under: Triticum aestivum (bread wheat)
Lineage: Eukaryota; Viridiplantae; Streptophyta; Magnoliopsida; Poales; Poaceae
Description: partial small subunit ribosomal RNA
Source: RNAcentral
AUGGCGAAGAAGGCCGCAAAGCGAGCUGUUGGUGAAGCAAGGGGUCGGGCAUUUGAGGACCUCUACCAACGGUUAGGCACGAAGGAAGGUGAAAGGGACAUCUAUAAGAUGGCUAAGAUCCGGGAGAGGAAGACGAGGGAUAUUGGCCAAGUCAAAUGCAUCAAGGACGGAGCAGGCCAACUCUUGGUGAAGGACGAAGAGAUUAAGCAUAGAUGGCGGGAGUACUUCGACAAGCUGUUCAAUGGGGAGAAUGAGAGUUCUACCAUUGAACUGAAUGACUCCUUUGAUGAGACCAGCAUGCGUUUUGUGCGGCGCAUCCAGGAGUCUGAGGUGAAGGAGGCUUUAAAAAGGAUGAAAGGAGGCAAGGCGAUGGGCCCUGAUUGUAUCCCCAUUGAGGUGUGGAAAGGUCUCGGGGACAUAGCGAUAGUAUGGCUAACCAAGCUUUUCAACCUCAUUUUUCGGGCAAACAAGAUGCCAGAAGAAUGGAGACGGAGUAUAUUAGUACCAGUCUUCAAGAACAAGGGGGAUGUUCAGAGUUGUACUAAUUACCGUGGAAUUAAGCUGAUGAGCCAUACAAUGAAGCUAUGGGAGAGAGUCAUUGAGCACCGCUUAAGAAGAAUGACAAGCGUGACCAAAAAUCAGUUUGGUUUCAUGCCUGGGAGGUCGACCAUGGAAGCCAUUUUCUUGGUACGACAACUUAUGGAGAGAUAUAGGGAGCAUAAGAAGGACUUGCAUAUGGUGUUCAUUGACUUGGAGAAGGCCUAUGAUAAGAUACCGCGGAAUGUCAUGUGGUGGGCCUUGGAGAAACACAAAGUCCCAGCAAAGUACAUUACCCUCAUCAAGGACAUGUACAAUAAUGUUGUGACAAGUGUUCGAACAAGUGAUGUCGACACCGAUGACUUCCCGAUUAAGAUAGGACUGCAUCAGGGGUCAGCUUUGAGCCCUUAUCUUUUUGCAUUGGUGAUGGAUGAGGUCACAAGGGGUAUACAAGGAGAUAUCCCAUGGUGUAUGCUCUUUGCAGAUGAUGUGGUGCUAGUUGACGAUAGUCGGACGGGGGUAAAUAGGAAGUUAGAGUUAUGGAGACAAACCUUGAAAUCGAAAGGGUUUAGGCUUAGUAGAACUAAAACCGAGUACAUGAUGUGCGGUUUCAGUACUACUAGCUGUGAGGAGGAGGAGGUUAGCCUUGAUGGCCAGGUGGUACCUCGGAAGGACACCUUUCGGUAUUUGGGGUCAAUGUUGCAGGAGGAUGGGGGUAUUGAUAAGAUGUGA